GUGAAAUCCCCGGGCUCAACCUGGGAACUGCAUUCGAAACUGGCAGGCUUGAGUCUUGUAGAGGGGGGUAGAAUUCCAGGUGUAGCGGUGAAAUGCGUAGAGAUCUGGAGGAAUACCGGUGGCGAAGGCGGCCCCCUGGACAAAGACUGACGCUCAGGUGCGAAAGCGUGGGGAGCAAACAGGAUUAGAUACCCUGGUAGUCCACGCCGUAAACGAUGUCUACUUGGAGGCUGUGCCCUUGAGGCGUGGCUUCCGGAGCUAACGCGUUAAGUAGACCGCCUGGGGAGUACGGCCGCAAGGUUAAAACUCAAAUGAAUUGACGGGGGCCCGCACAAGCGGUGGAGCAUGUGGUUUAAUUCGAUGCAACGCGAAGAACCUUACCUGGUCUUGACAUCCACGGAAGGUCUCAGA
This 411-nucleotide ribosomal RNA is filed under the name Salmonella enterica. RNAcentral's name for it is "bacterial SSU rRNA". It matches the Rfam family "Bacterial small subunit ribosomal RNA", at positions 594 to 1004 of the family's 1533-position model. The record is from RNAcentral. Lineage: Bacteria; Pseudomonadati; Pseudomonadota; Gammaproteobacteria; Enterobacterales; Enterobacteriaceae.